GAUGAACGCUAGCGGCAGGCUUAAUACAUGCAAGUCGUGGGGCAGCAUGAGUAGCAAUACUUGAUGGCGACCGGCAAACGGGUGAGGAACACGUACACAACCUUCCUUCAAGCGGGAAUAGCCCAGAGAAAUUUGGAUUAAUAACCCCAUAAUAUAUUUGAUAAGGCAUCUUAUUAAUAUUAAAGCUUCGGCACUUGAUGAUGGGUGUGCGGCUGAAUUAGAUAGUUGGCGGGGUAACGGCCCACCAAGUCUACGAUCAGUAGCUGAUGUGAGAGCAUGAUCAGCCACACGGGCACUGAGACACGGGCCCGACUCCUACGGGAGGCAGCAGUAAGGAAUAUGGGACAAUGGACGAAAGUCUGAUCCAGCCAAUGCCGC
Molecule: ribosomal RNA, 378 nt
Filed under: uncultured bacterium
Lineage: Bacteria
Description: bacterial SSU rRNA
Rfam family: Bacterial small subunit ribosomal RNA
Source: RNAcentral